UUUGCAUUGUCUUUGUUAUUGUACUGACUAUUCUCUUAAAAAUAAAGUAAUUGACUUAGUUAACUUCAAGAUAAAAAAUUAAUACCUUUUUGAUUAAGUUUCAAGGACUGCAUAAUAGAAUAGAGAUAGGGCAGAGAGUUGGGGUAUAUUCCCCCAAUUCAAAAGUAUUUUCUCCAGUGACACCCACAUACAUGGCUUGUGGGAGAAGCAUCUAUAUUUAUAAUGGGCUUUGAUUGGGAUCUUUGAA
RNAcentral lists this unclassified non-coding RNA (247 nucleotides) under Hevea brasiliensis (rubber tree). Lineage: Eukaryota; Viridiplantae; Streptophyta; Magnoliopsida; Malpighiales; Euphorbiaceae. The record is from RNAcentral.